GCCGCGUGAGUGAAGAAGGCCUUCGGGUUGUAAAGCUCUUUUGUCAGGGAAGAAACGGUGAUCUCUAAUAUAGAUUGCUAAUGACGGUACCUGAAGAAUAAGCACCGGCUAACUACGUGCCAGCAGCCGCGGUAAUACGUAGGGUGCAAGCGUUAAUCGGAAUUACUGGGCGUAAAGCGUGCGCAGGCGGUUAUAUAAGUCAGAUGUGAAAUCCCCGGGCUCAACCUGGGAACUGCAUUUGAGACUGUAUGGCUAGAGUGUGUCAGAGGGGGGUAGAAUUCCACGUGUAGCAGUGAAAUGCGUAGAUAUGUGGAGGAAUACCGAUGGCGAAGGCAGCCCCCUGGGAUAACACUGACGCUCAUGCACGAAAGCGUGGGGAGCAAACAGGAUUAGAUACCCUGGUAGUCCACGCCCUAAACGAUGUCUACUAGUUGUUGGGUCUUAAUUGACUUAGUAACGCAGCUAACGCGUGAAGUAGACCGCCUGGGGAGUACGGUCGCAAGAUUAAAACUCAAAGGAAUUGACGGGGACCCGCACAAGCGGUGGAUGAUGUGGAUUAAUUCGAUGCAACGCGAAAAACCUUACCUACCCUUGACAUGUACAGAAUGCCGAAGAGAUUUGG
Molecule: ribosomal RNA, 622 nt
Filed under: Undibacterium sp. Se3Pw_3432
Lineage: Bacteria; Pseudomonadati; Pseudomonadota; Betaproteobacteria; Burkholderiales; Oxalobacteraceae
Description: bacterial SSU rRNA
Rfam family: Bacterial small subunit ribosomal RNA
Source: RNAcentral